RNAcentral lists this ribosomal RNA (23 nucleotides) under Lagotis praecox. Its description in RNAcentral is "partial 26S ribosomal RNA". The record is from RNAcentral. Lineage: Eukaryota; Viridiplantae; Streptophyta; Magnoliopsida; Lamiales; Plantaginaceae.
CGACCGSGACCCCAGGUCAGGCG